RNAcentral lists this ribosomal RNA (676 nucleotides) under uncultured Eubacteriales bacterium. RNAcentral describes it as "bacterial SSU rRNA". It matches the Rfam family "Bacterial small subunit ribosomal RNA", at positions 62 to 741 of the family's 1533-position model. The record is from RNAcentral. Lineage: Bacteria; Bacillati; Bacillota; Clostridia; Eubacteriales.
UCGAACGAUGAAACUUAGUAGACUUCUUCGGAAUGACACUAAGCGAAUUAGUGGCGAACGGGUGAGUAACGCGUGAGUAACCUGCCUUACACAAGGGGAUAGCCUUUGGAAACGAAGAAUAAUACCCUAUAAAACUAUAAAAGCACAUGCUAGAAUGGUCAAAGUGCUAGCGGUGUAAGAUGGACUUGCGUCUGAUUAGCUAGUUGGUGAGAUAAAAGCUCACCAAGGCAACGAUCAGUAGCCGGCUUGAGAGAGUGUACGGCCACAUUGGGACUGAGACACGGCCCAGACUCCUACGGGAGGCAGCAGUGGGGAAUUUUGCACAAUGGGGGAAACCCUGAUGCAGCGACGCCGCGUGAUUUAGAAGGCCUUCGGGUUGUAAAAAUCUUUUGUAUAGGAAGAAAAUGACAGUACUAUACGAAUAAGGUCCGGCUAAUUACGUGCCAGCAGCCGCGGUAAUACGUAAGGACCGAGCGUUGUCCGGAAUCAUUGGGCGUAAAGGGUACGUAGGCGGCUAGAAAAGUUAGAAGUCAAAGGCUAUAGCUCAACUAUAGUAAGCUUCUAAAACUAUUUAGCUUGAGAAAUGGAAGGGAAAGUGGAAUUCCUAGUGUAGCGGUGGAAUGCGCAGAUAUUAGGAAGAAUACCGGUGGCGAAGGCGACUUUCUGGCCAUUAUCU